UGGCACAACUGGCAGGGCGUUCGGCCCUCAAUCGCAAGGUUGAGAGUUCGAGUCCCACCUUGGCCAAACCUCGCUGUGUCCUUGGGCAAGACACUUAACCCGGCAUCGCCCGAGUGAAUGCGCGUGAAUGGGAAAACACAAUUACUGCAUGAAUGAGUGAGGUUGGGUAAAUCCGACAUUGAGUACCGAAAUUGAAAGACCAAAAAGCUAUAUAAGCUCAUGUCCGCUUACCAUUUCUAUAUUUUAU
This is a non-coding RNA of Labrus bergylta (ballan wrasse), 247 nucleotides long. Lineage: Eukaryota; Metazoa; Chordata; Actinopteri; Labriformes; Labridae. The record is from RefSeq and is a predicted model, not a curated record.